AUGUCCAAAACCUCUAUUAUACCAUAUUCAUCACCCUAAACUUUAUCCCACCAACAAAAUUAUCAUAAUAAUUAAUUUCUUCUAACAAUGUUCUUCAUCCGUAACCCAUCAUCUUUUCUUAAAAAAAAAAUAAAAAUUCUCACGUAUAAUCGCCAUUAAAGCUGCGGUAAUGUUUCAAACUUCUGUUCAUUUUCCUGCUAUUAUCUAUUGGUUCUACUUGUAACUUAUCACCUUUAUUUGAUUGCAGUGUCCAACAAAUAUUGUCCCUUUCUUUGGUGACCUUUAUGUUUCAAAAAAUGGUAAUAUGAAGGUAUAUUGUAAAAUUGACAUUGAUUUGAUGAAGGUGGAGGAUGAAUUGUGUUAUUUGGGAAUGAGUGUUUUUUUUUUUUAAUUAAAAUUUUUGGGUCAUUUCUGACCCCUUUUAUUGAUACUCAAAACACUCCAGUCCAAAAUAAAAGUGACCCGGGUCAAUCCUUGCAUAAGAAUUGAAAAGUUUCCUAAAAAUGAACAAUAGUACUCUUUCCUAAACGUUAGAAACGAUUUUCAUCACUUUUUCCUUGUCCUUUGCACCGCCUCUCAUCCAUGUCCAUCUCAGCUUCCAAUCGAAAGUGUUUGAAUCCUCAGUUGGUGCUGGUAUUGUUGAAAUUAUUUUUCAGAUCUUGAGGAGUAUUUCCUGUCAUGAAGGGAGGUUUUAUCUACCCCUGUUUUUUGUGAACGUUUUUGAUAAUUAGAGCAUCUAGUUAGACAUAGCACAGAAGAGUAGUUAUUGAAAUUGCUCAAACAUUUGCUGUGUCUCUGCUUUGUUUUCGCAAACUUGUGAAAUUUGGGAGCCCCUAGAUUUCUCAUCUCCUUAAUCGAACAAAUCGACUGUUUGUUCUGAAUGUAAUUAUGCAUGUGACUGAAUCUGUCUUGUUCUGAUUCUCAGAUUGGGAAUUUGUGUUUUAUCCA
Long non-coding RNA from Capsicum annuum, 948 nucleotides. RefSeq lists it as uncharacterized. The transcript is spliced from 2 exons. The record is from RefSeq and is a predicted model, not a curated record. NCBI's taxonomy places the organism in Eukaryota, Viridiplantae, Streptophyta, Magnoliopsida, Solanales, Solanaceae.